AGUGAACGAAUUUUUUAAUAUUUAUAUUCAACACUUUUUCUUAUGUACGGAUUUGAGAAUUUUUGAUUAAGACAUUGACUUGAAUUAAAUGGAAGAGAUAGGAGCCUGGUGGAACUUGAACUUAUUAGCACCCGAUAUGUUAAUUAAGCAACUUGAAAUAAUUAUUAUUCUUUAAAAACUUAAGCCGGUAGAAAACGGUAUUUUUAAUAUUUAUAUUCAACAAAUGCAAAAUCAGAAGCUGUAAGCGA
Molecule: long non-coding RNA, 248 nt
Filed under: Ananas comosus (pineapple)
Lineage: Eukaryota; Viridiplantae; Streptophyta; Magnoliopsida; Poales; Bromeliaceae
Description: long non-coding RNA (ACOM_LNC020676)
Source: RNAcentral